AGCAGCCGCGGUAAUUCCAGCUCCAAUAGCGUAUAUUAAAGUUGUUGCAGUUAAAAAGCUCGUAGUUGAAUUUCGGGAUCAAUACGUCGGUCGUGCUUCGGUACGUACUGGCGUAAUUGAUUUCUCCCUUCUGACGAACCAUGAUGUCAUUAACUUGGUGUCAUGGGAAAUCAGGACUGUUACUUUGAAAAAAUUAGAGUGUUUAAAGCAAGCUAACGCUUGAAUACAUUAGCAUGGAAUAAUGAAAUAGGACGUUCGAUCCUAUUUUGUUGGUUUCUAGGAUUGACGUAAUGAUUAAUAGGGAUAGUUGGGGGCAUUAGUAUUCAAUUGUCAGAGGUGAAAUUCUUGGAUUUAUUGAAGACUAACUACUGCGAAAGCAUUUGCCAAGGAUGUUUUCAUUAAUCAAGAACGAAAGUUAGGGGAUCGAAGACGAUCAGAUACCGUCGUAGUCUUAACCAUAAACUAUGCCGACUAGGGAUCGGAUGAUGUUAAUUUUUAAUGACUCAUUCGGCGCCUUAAC
Molecule: ribosomal RNA, 520 nt
Filed under: uncultured Glomus
Lineage: Eukaryota; Fungi; Glomeromycota; Glomeromycetes; Glomerales; Glomeraceae
Description: SSU rRNA
Rfam family: Eukaryotic small subunit ribosomal RNA
Source: RNAcentral